Molecule: ribosomal RNA, 390 nt
Filed under: uncultured bacterium
Lineage: Bacteria
Description: bacterial SSU rRNA
Rfam family: Bacterial small subunit ribosomal RNA
Source: RNAcentral
GACGAACGCUGGCGGCGUGCUUAACACAUGCAAGUCGAGCGGUAAGGCCCUUUCGGGGGUACGACGAGCGGCGAACGGGUGAGUAACACGUGGGUGACCUGCCCUCAGCUCUGGGAUAAGCCUGGGAAACUGGGUCUAAUACUGGAUAUGACUCCACGGUGCAUGUCGUGGGGUGGAAAGCCUUGUGCGGCUGAGGAUGGGCCCGCGGCCUAUCAGCUUGUUGGUGGGGUGAUGGCCUACCAAGGCGACGACGGGUAGCCGGCCUGAGAGGGCGACCGGCCACACUGGGACUGAGACACGGCCCAGACUCCUACGGGAGGGCAGCAGUGGGGAAUCUUGCGCAAUGGGCGAAAGCCUGACGCAGCGACGCCGCGUGAGGGAUGACGGCCU